RNAcentral lists this long non-coding RNA (243 nucleotides) under Carica papaya (papaya). RNAcentral's name for it is "long non-coding RNA (CPAP_LNC013552)". The record is from RNAcentral. Lineage: Eukaryota; Viridiplantae; Streptophyta; Magnoliopsida; Brassicales; Caricaceae.
AACACCUCAAAAUUGAUUGCCAUCUAAUCCGUCAUCAUUUGAAGGAAGGUUUCAUUCAAUCUCAGUUUGUUCCUAGUAAGCAGCAACCAGCAGAUAUUUUCAUCAAGAGCCUCUCAUUUCCUAAGUUUGAUUUUCUCUUGCCCAAGCUGGGGAUGUAGAGAAUUAAGAUAUUCACCUGUUGCAUUUUCUGUAAUAACAGCAUGCAUAAUGGAGUGUGCUAUGCCAGCUGUAUUUUGUGUUGUA